RNAcentral lists this microRNA precursor (170 nucleotides) under Triticum aestivum (bread wheat). Its description in RNAcentral is "MIR2118 microRNA precursor family". It matches the Rfam family "MIR2118 microRNA precursor family". RNAcentral also lists the same sequence under 1 other name. Lineage: Eukaryota; Viridiplantae; Streptophyta; Magnoliopsida; Poales; Poaceae. The record is from Rfam by way of RNAcentral.
GUAGGGAAGGGGAAGAAAGAGCACAAGAGCACUAGGAAUGGAAACAUGGAGGAAAGCUUAAGUUUUUUGUUUCCACUUCUCAUUUUGGAGGUGCAAAUAUUUAGUUUUGUGCUUUCCUGAUGCCUUCCAUUUGUAUGGUUCUUGAGCACUCCUUCCUCUCCUCUUUUGCU